This 73-nucleotide transfer RNA is filed under the name Acidimicrobiia bacterium. RNAcentral describes it as "tRNA-Ala". It matches the Rfam family "tRNA". Rfam says of the family: Transfer RNA (tRNA) molecules are approximately 80 nucleotides in length. Their secondary structure includes four short double-helical elements and three loops (D, anti-codon, and T loops). RNAcentral also lists the same sequence under 3 other names. The record is from RNAcentral. Lineage: Bacteria; Bacillati; Actinomycetota; Acidimicrobiia.
GGGGCUAUAGCUCAGUUGGUAGAGCGCUUCAAUGGCAUUGAAGAGGUCGGGAGUUCGAUUCUCCCUAGCUCCA